Molecule: non-coding RNA, 29 nt
Filed under: Mus musculus (house mouse)
Lineage: Eukaryota; Metazoa; Chordata; Mammalia; Rodentia; Muridae
Source: RNAcentral
UGGUUAACGUGCCUUUUAGGGGUUUUCUC